GAAAUGCGAUAAGUAAUGUGAAUUGCAGAAUUCAGUGAAUCAUCGAAUCUUUGAACGCACAUUGCGCCCCUUGGUAUUCCGGGGGGCAUGCCUGUUCGAGCGUCAUUAUAACCCUCAAGCCUAGCUUGGUGUUGAAGCGUGCCUUCUGGCAGCUUUUAAAAUCAGUGGCAGUGCCUUCUGGCUCUAAGCGUAGUAACUUCUCUCGCUAUAGGGUUUAGAGGUCCGCUCGCCAAAACCCCUAAUUUUCUAUGGUUGACCUCGGAUCAGGUAGGGAUACCCGCUGAACUUAA
RNAcentral lists this unclassified non-coding RNA (290 nucleotides) under uncultured Cistella. RNAcentral's name for it is "sequence contains ITS1". The stretch from base 1 to 105 matches the Rfam family "5.8S ribosomal RNA", at positions 50 to 154 of the family's 154-position model. The record is from RNAcentral. Lineage: Eukaryota; Fungi; Ascomycota; Leotiomycetes; Helotiales; Hyaloscyphaceae.